GAUCAUGGCUCAGAACGAACGCUGGUGGCGUGUCUAUACAUGCAAGUCGAGCGAGGUAGCAAUACCUAGCGGCGAACGGGUGAGUAACGCGUAAGCAAUCCUGCCCCAUAUCAGGAAAUACCCGUGCCAACGCGCGGUUAAUGUCCAGGAGCGUGGCCUCUCGCAUGGGAGGUUGACAAGAGAUUUAUCGGUAUGGGAUGAGCUUGCGUCCGAUUAGCUAGUUGGCGGGGUAACGGCCCACCAAGGCGACGAUCGGUAGCCGGCCUGAGAGGGUGAUCGGCCACAUUGGGACUGAGAUACGGCCCAGACUCCUACGGGAGGCAGCAGUAGGGAAUAUUGCACAAUGGGGGAAACCCUGAUGCAGCAACGCCCACGUGUGGGAAGGAGCAUUUCGGUGUGUAAACCACUGUCGUGAGGGAAUAAGGCAUUUUUCGGGAAUGUUGAAUGUACCUCGAAAGGAAGCACCGGCAAACUUCGUGCCAGCAGCCGC
Molecule: ribosomal RNA, 490 nt
Filed under: uncultured bacterium
Lineage: Bacteria
Description: bacterial SSU rRNA
Rfam family: Bacterial small subunit ribosomal RNA
Source: RNAcentral